CGCUGGCGGCGUGCCUAAUACAUGCAAGUCGAACGCACUCUCGUUUAGAUUGAAGGAGCUUGCUCCUGAUUGAUAAACAUUUGAGUGAGUGGCGGACGGGUGAGUAACACGUGGGUAACCUGCCCUAAAGUGGGGGAUAACAUUUGGAAACAGAUGCUAAUACCGCAUAAAACCUAACACCGCAUGGUGUAGGGUUGAAAGAUGGUUUCGGCUAUCACUUUAGGAUGGACCCGCGGUGCAUUAGUUAGUUGGUGAGGUAAAGGCUCACCAAGACCGUGAUGCAUAGCCGACCUGAGAGGGUAAUCGGCCACACUGGGACUGAGACACGGCCCAGACUCCUACGGGAGGCAGCAGUAGGGAAUCUUCCACAAUGGACGAAAGUCUGAUGGAGCAACGCCGCGUGAGUGAAGAAGGUUUUCGGAUCGUAAAACUCUGUUGUUGGAGAAGAAUGUAUCUGAGAGUAACUGAUCAGGUAGUGACGGUAUCCAACCAGAAAGCCACGGCUAACUACGUG
RNAcentral lists this ribosomal RNA (514 nucleotides) under uncultured bacterium. RNAcentral's name for it is "bacterial SSU rRNA". It matches the Rfam family "Bacterial small subunit ribosomal RNA", at positions 34 to 507 of the family's 1533-position model. The record is from RNAcentral.